This is a long non-coding RNA of Morus notabilis, 297 nucleotides long. RefSeq lists it as uncharacterized. The transcript has 3 exons. The record is from RefSeq and is a predicted model, not a curated record. NCBI's taxonomy places the organism in Eukaryota, Viridiplantae, Streptophyta, Magnoliopsida, Rosales, Moraceae.
CUGAAGGAGACCCAAAAGAUCGAUUGACCUCUGUUUGCACUUGGUGAUUUAAUAUCUGCACUUGUCUCCACAUUCCAUCACUCAUGGUCUAAAGUUUACUACUCUAAGUACUUGGUUAGGACAAAUAUUCGAGAUUCACGGUUUUCCUGGUGUUGUUCCUCUACUCACCUUUACAGCCUUCAAACUCCGUCCCCUCUCUUUUUCUCCCCAUCUCCGCCGUAUCUCUCUCUUCAUCCUCGACAGAAGCUCAUAUUGGAACCUCUCCAUGACUGGUUUGGAACUCUGACCACCCUAAAA